AUACGUAGGGGGCGAGCGUUGUCCGGAAUGAUUGGGCGUAAAGGGCGCGUAGGCGGCUUUGCAAGUCAGUAGUGGAAGUCCAUUUUUCAAGGAUGGAAGUGCUACAGAAACUGCGGAGCUUGAGUGCAGGAGAGGUUAUCGGAAUUCCCGGUGUAGCGGUGAAAUGCGUAGAGAUCGGGAGGAACACCAGUGGCGAAGGCGACUUCCGGGCACAAUACUGGCGCUCAUGUGCGAAGGCUAGGGUAGCGAACGGGAUUAGAUACCCCGGUAGUCCUAGCCGUAAACGAUGGAUACUAGGUGUGGGUGUCGCAGGGCAUCCGUGCCGCAGCUAACGCGUUAAGUAUCCCGCCUGGGGACUACGGUCGCAAGACUGAAACUCAAAGGAAUUGACGGGG
RNAcentral lists this ribosomal RNA (395 nucleotides) under uncultured bacterium. RNAcentral describes it as "partial 16S ribosomal RNA". It matches the Rfam family "Bacterial small subunit ribosomal RNA", at positions 523 to 918 of the family's 1533-position model. The record is from RNAcentral.